CCUACGGGAGGCUGCAGUCGAGAAUCAUUCACAAUGGGGGAAACCCUGAUGGGGCGACGCCGCGUGGGGGAAUGAAGGUCUGCGGAUUGUAAACCCCUGUCAUGUGGGAGCAAAUUAAAAAGAUAGUACCACAAGAGGAAGAGACGGCUAACUCUGUGCCAGCAGCCGCGGUAAUACAGAGGUCUCAAGCGUUGUUCGGAAUCACUGGGCGGAAAGCGUGCGGAGGCUGUUUCGUAAGUCGUGUGUGAAAGGCGCGGGCUCAACCCGCGGACGGCACAUGAUACUGCGAGACUAGAGUAAUGGAGGGGGAACCGGAAGUCUCGGUGUAGCAGUGAAAUGCGUAGAUAUCGAGAGGAACACUCGUGGCGAAGGCGGGUUCCUGGACAUUAACUGACGCUGAGGCACGAAGGCCAGGGGAGCGAAAGGGAUUAGAUACCCGUGUAGUC
This 446-nucleotide ribosomal RNA is filed under the name uncultured bacterium. RNAcentral's name for it is "partial 16S ribosomal RNA". It matches the Rfam family "Bacterial small subunit ribosomal RNA", at positions 338 to 795 of the family's 1533-position model. The record is from RNAcentral.